GAUGAUGCCCAGCUUGCUGGGCGGAUUAGUGGCGAACGGGUGAGUAAUACGUGAGUAACCUGCCCUUGACUCUGGGAUAAGCCUGGGAAACUGGGUCUAAUACUGGAUACUACCUCUUACCGCAUGGUGGGUGGUGGAAAGGGUUUUACUGGUUUUGGAUGGGCUCACGGCCUAUCAGCUUGUUGGUGGGGUAAUGGCUCACCAAGGCGACGACGGGUAGCCGGCCUGAGAGGGUGACCGGCCACACUGGGACUGAGACACGGCCCAGACUCCUACGGGAGGCAGCAGUGGGGAAUAUUGCACAAUGGGCGGAAGCCUGAUGCAGCGACGCCGCGUGAGGGAUGACGGCCUUCGGGUUGUAAACCUCUUUCAGUAGGGAAGAAGCGAGAGUGACGGUACCUGCAGAAGAAGCGCCGGCUAACUACGUGCCAGCAGCCGCGGUAAUACGUAGGGCGCAAGCGUUGUCCGGAAUUAUUGGGCGUAAAGAGCUCGUAGGCGGUUUGUCGCGUCUGCUGUGAAAGCCCGGGGCUCAACCCCGGGUCUGCAGUGGGUACGGGCAGACUAGAGUGCAGUAGGGGAGACUGGAAUUCCUGGUGUAGCGGUGAAAUGCGCAGAUAUCAGGAGGAACACCGAUGGCGAAGGCAGGUCUCUGGGCUGUUACUGACGCUGAGGAGCGAAAGCAUGGGGAGCGAACAGGAUUAGAUACCCUGGUAGUCCAUGCCGUAAACGUUGGGCACUAGGUGUGGGGGACAUUCCACGUUUUCCGCGCCGUAGCUAACGCAUUAAGUGCCCCGCCUGGGGAGUACGGCCGCAAGGCUAAAACUCAAAGGAAUUGACGGGGGCCCGCACAAGCGGCGGAGCAUGCGGAUUAAUUCGAUGCAACGCGAAGAACCUUACCAAGGCUUGACAUUCACCGGACCGCCCCAGAGAUGGGGUUUCCCUUCGGGGCUGGUGGACAGGUGGUGCAUGGUUGUCGUCAGCUCGUGUCGUGAGAUGUUGGGUUAAGUCCCGCAACGAGCGCAACCCUCGUUCUAUGUUGCCAGCACGUGAUGGUGGGGACUCAUAGGAGACUGCCGGGGUCAACUCGGAGGAAGGUGGGGAUGACGUCAAAUCAUCAUGCCCCUUAUGUCUUGGGCUUCACGCAUGCUACAAUGGCCGGUACAAAGGGUUGCGAUACUGUGAGGUGGAGCUAAUCCCAAAAAGCCGGUCUCAGUUCGGAUUGAGGUCUGCAACUCGACCUCAUGAAGUCGGAGUCGCUAGUAAUCGCAGAUCAGCAACGCUGCGGUGAAUACGUUCCCGGGCCUUGUACACACCGCCCGUCAAGUCACGAAAGUUGGUAACACCCGAAGCCGGUGGCCUAACCCCUUGUGGGAGGGAGCCGUCGAA
This 1386-nucleotide ribosomal RNA is filed under the name Kocuria rosea. Its description in RNAcentral is "bacterial SSU rRNA". It matches the Rfam family "Bacterial small subunit ribosomal RNA". Lineage: Bacteria; Bacillati; Actinomycetota; Actinomycetes; Micrococcales; Micrococcaceae. The record is from RNAcentral.